AUUGAACGCUGGCGGCAGGCCUAACACAUGCAAGUCGAGCGGAUGAAGGGAGCUUGCUCCUGGAUUCAGCGGCGGACGGGUGAGUAAUGCCUAGGAAUCUGCCUGGUAGUGGGGGAUAACGUCCUGAAACGGGCGCUUAUACCGCAUCCGUCCUGAUGGAGAAAGUGGGGGUUCUUCGGACCUCUCGCUUUCAUAUGAGCCUAGGUCGGAUUAGCUAGUUGGUGGGGUAAAGGCCUACCAAGGCGACGAUCCGUAACUGGUCUGAGAGGAUGAUCAGUCACACUGGAAGUGAGACACGGUCCAGACUCCUACGGGAGGCAGCAGUGGGGAAUAUUGGACAAUGGGCGAAAGGCUGAUCCAGCAAUGCCGCGUGUGUGAAGAAGGUCUUAGGAUUGUAAAGCACUUUAAGUUGGGAGGAAGGGCAGUAAGUUAAUACCUGGCUGUUUUGACGUUACCAACAGAAUAAGCACCGGCUAACUUCGUG
This 484-nucleotide ribosomal RNA is filed under the name uncultured bacterium. Its description in RNAcentral is "partial 16S ribosomal RNA". It matches the Rfam family "Bacterial small subunit ribosomal RNA", at positions 30 to 507 of the family's 1533-position model. The record is from RNAcentral.